This 262-nucleotide ribosomal RNA is filed under the name uncultured bacterium. RNAcentral's name for it is "partial 16S ribosomal RNA". It matches the Rfam family "Bacterial small subunit ribosomal RNA", at positions 513 to 774 of the family's 1533-position model. The record is from RNAcentral.
AGCCGCGGUAAUACGAAGGGGGCUAGCGUUGCUCGGAAUUACUGGGCGUAAAGGGAGCGUAGGCGGACAUUUAAGUCAGGGGUGAAAUCCCGAGGCUCAACCUCGGAACUGCCUUUGAUACUGGCGAUCUUGAGUAUGAGAGAGGUAUGUGGAACUCCGAGUGUAGAGGUGAAAUUCGUAGAUAUUCGGAAGAACACCAGUGGCGAAGGCGACAUACUGGCUCAUUACUGACGCUGAGGCGCGAAAGCGUGGGGAGCAAACA